AGCGUUCAGACAGUGGGCAGUUGCCUUCCUGGCAAAUUAUUCUCCAUAACUUCGUGCGUGAGAGCAGACGGUUUUCUUCUAAUGUUGGGUUUUUUCAACGUCUCCUUUGGAGGAGCUGCCGGUUCAGUGGGGCGGACUCAAUCAGGAGUGGAGCAGGCAGCCCCCGGUGGAAAACAGUGACAUGUAACAAAAGCAGAACACCAUUUUAAAGCUCCAAUAAAAUCGUAAAUCACUUGUGUUUAAAGAGGCACCAGGGCCACUGUGUAAACUGAGGUACAGUUAAAUAUUUAUAGUUUAAAGGAUUAUUUUGUCUAUUUUAGAAGAAACAUCAAGUUCACUUGGUUCAGGGCUCUGUCUACACAGAAAUACAGGCACAACAAUGCCCUGCAGAAGAGCUGAAGGGUUUGGAUCAUGGCAGUAGCUCCCCAAAUUUAUUUUCGUUUUUUUUAAUGUGUGUGUGUGUGUUUGUGUGUGUGUGUGUGUGUAGAGGGAGGAGGAGGUGGGGGAGAGGAAUAUAUAACUGAACUGCAGAAAACACCUUUCUGGAAACAAAGGCAAGGAGCAGCAUUUCAAUUGCAAAUGCAUCAGCCAGAGACCAAAUAACAGUUGUGGGAAGACACUCAUAAAAUUAAUGUACCUUACUUACAAAAAAAAAAAAAAAAUCAAAUGCUUACUACAGUUACCUCGGUGCAGCUUAAUAAAAAAUUAGCCUUACUGACAGUCUUGUCAACAUCUUAAGUAAAUUAUCAUAGCGCUGGUCUUUGGAGAAGAGACCCCACACUUCUUGCUAAAACACCUCCUAUCGUUAAUCUUAAACCACUUGAAGAUUAUGAUGGAAAGAAUGGGAUCGCUAGCCAUUAUCAUCUCAAAUUGCUGUUAAAAAGUCCGCUGUUUAUUUUUGCAACCAAAGCAAAUGUAUCUGGGAAAUACAGAAGAGGGAAGAAAGGAAAACACAAGAAAGGCAGAACAAUUGAGGCGAAUCCUGUUGCAACCCCGAUGAUAAACACAUGGAAAAGGCUGUUACUGCUCUUUGGAUUGCUGGAAUUUGGGCAGACGUUAGAAAAAUAAACAAAGCGAUGGCUCCACAUCAGCUCUGUAAAUGCAAUGAUACAGUCAAUGGAAGGAUUUGGCAUAAACGGGGCAAUCUGCUGUGUUCCAGUCAUUCAACCUGAAAUGUUAUCCGCGUACCUUUGCACCUUAAGUGAAUGCACAGUUCGAGGCGAACGGUGCAUGUAGCUGAAUACAACCAAAAUGCAGAUUGUAAAGUCCUUCUUUAAAAUGCAACAGUUCACAGGAACGUUUAACAAUACAAUGUGAAACAAUCGACUCCCCUCCCCAAAGACAGAGAGAGAGAGAGAGAGAGAAAACACUAAAACCUGAGGAUGCAAAUUAAACUAAACUAAACUCAUCUCCAUGCUUUGGCGAGUUGCAUUUUCCUGUUGUUCCUACGAGGACUCCAUUUCGAUAUCAGUGUAAUAAAGAGAGAGGGAGCAAAACGUUCAUUUUACACAGUAGUAAGCGGCUUCUUGAUCAGUGCUGGAAUGAAUUUCGGGAGUGGCGCGCAUACAGCUCUGCGCGAGGAAGAAAUGGGUUGCGCGUUGUCGCAGCGAUAUUUUCCGGAGCAAUCAAACAGACCCGCAGCUCAGGCGCCCUGAGGGAUGAAUGGGUUCCCUGCAGCACCGGCCUGGGGGGCUAAGGGAUCUCGAAAGGUGAGGUUUGCCCAGCUCCUGCCCAGAGUCUGCCACUCCUUGCAAGGAAGCCUGAGUCUGGGGAGGGACGGAGCGAUCAGGAGCUGGGGGCUCUUUGCCAGGGAGGAGGCUGGAGUGGGGUGAACGCAUCUGCACGCAGGCAUGAAACCUUGCGAGCUCUGGGCGAAUUCUCCUCGCCUCCUCCCCCUUGUCUUCCUGCGUCUCCUCCGCCUCUGCAGCCAGAGCCAACAAGGGGCCGCGAUUCGUUUGGCCGAGUUAGUUAAAAUAAAUAAACCCACGAAGAUUCACUGGCGAGCAAUGCCGCAUCGACCCGAAGGUUUAUUAAGAAGCGAGUCUGCUCCAGUCCCUCUUAAAGGCGAGAGGGUUGCAGCCAAGCAGAAGUCAAGUCACACUUGUUGUUAUUCAAUUCAAACUCCCUCUUGCCCUCCCCUGUGCCACCCCGGGGAAUCUCACACACCAAAGCCAUUGGCAAUCGCUACCCACCUCUCAUCAGCCCUUUGCCACCCGCCGCAGAGCAGAGUGGGGAAGGGAGCUGGCACAGCUAGCCAAAGCAAACACAGCCCUGAGUUAAACUCAUUUCCUCAGCGAGCCUACGGGACACGUUGGGAGAUGGCAUCAAACCCGCUCAGCUUGUUCAUCUUCUCCCUCCGCUCCGAUCUGAGCAAGGAUGCAAGGAGAGGGCUGCCACAAAGUGCUUUUUCUGUCUUGUUGGCGAUGGGGAUUGUUAACCCGAAUAAAAAUCCUUACAGCUGUCUCCUGGUGAAGAUGCAAUUGGUGUUAUUGCCAAUCACGAUUAGCAAUAAUUAGCCCGAAAGCGUGAAGGAUUCAGCUGCCAAGGUAUUCUGAAUAACCUGUUUGGAACAGGUAACAAAACAUUAGGUCCAAACACAAACUAACUGCAAACUUCCAGUAACAGGGCUCUUCCAAGAGGAUCAGAUUCCAAAUAAGAUCCUAGCUCCUGGCUCCUCAUGCUACCUUUUCUCUCAUGUAGUUUACAUAUCCAUUAUUAUUUUUUCUACAUCUGUAUUUUCCCCCACAAAGGUCUCUGCAAACUUGAAGUAGCAACUAAGCAUCUUCUCCAAACAUCUUUACUUGUUUACUCAGCUCUCUCAAUUUUAAAUACAAAGUAAACAAACUGGAGGGAUAAUGCAGUCCCAGAGCCAAGCCAGAGCUGCUCUGUUUAUGCUCUGAAACUCAUCCUUAGGCCCUCUGAAUUGGGAAAGUUUAAAUGAAGUGUAACUAGAAGAAGGUCACAGGUGACUGACAAGUUCAAGCUACUUAUCUCAAUUAUCAAAUAGUUUUAUUUCCAAAUUGUGUUCAAUUUGAUUUUCCUGCCUCGCCACAAAUUAGCUUAGAAAAAAAUCAAAUGAAAGCAGACAAUUUAAGCCAAAUCCUGUAAACCAUUAUUUAUUUGUAAAAUCAUUUUUGUGAUAUAUACUCCCAUUAAUGGUUAUGCGGUUGCCAAAUCUUUCCAAGUGGAUUUAGAAAUGUAGCCAUCAAAUUAUUUCAAAGGCAGGACUAUUAGGGACAAAAAUAAUUAUGAACUUUCAGAAGCAUUAUAAAAAAUAAGUUUCUGAAUGUUGUCUCUUUAAAUUUCACUUAAAUUUUCAUUUCAUUUAAGCCUUGAGGCACAGUAGAGAGAUAUUCAGUGUCUAACAAGGAGUUUGGAAAAUAAUGCUCAGUACUAGAAUAGAGCACAAUUUCUCCAUAAAAUAUGGAUAAGGAAUCAAUUCAUAAACACAAAUACCCACUAGAACUGAGUUUUAAUAUAGCAUUUCAUAUGAAAAUUUUUAUAUGCAUUAUUUAGGAGAUAACAAAAGCUCUUCAAAUCAAGGCUUAUACAGUCACAUCUGGGGGUUUUUCCCUUCUAAUUUUCAUUUUUUAGAGAAAAUAUUAGGAACAAAACUACAUUGCCCCCUGUUACCAUAUAUAUUAACUAUUACCAUCAGCUUUUAAUCAGCAACAUGUAUAUUGCCUUAGAUUUACAGAAUCCAUACCAUGAUGCUUCUUUCAGAGGACAGUAAAAUAAGGAUACUAUCUUUAUUCAGUUGUAAGAUUUGAUGUUAAAAAACAAAAGCACAAACACACUUGUCUUACCAUUUGUUUUAAGUAUAUUUAAGUACACACACACUGAAACUGAAGUAAUGAACGUUAGAUGACAUCAUAUAAGCAAUCAGAGAACUGAGAACACAGACCUCUCCAAAUAAGAAGUGGUUAGAGUGAAUUCACCUAUAUUAGACCCAGACUUAUCCCUAACCAAAGGUGUUCUACUUGGGACAUUUAGUAAAUUUUCCUGUGUAAAGUCCAAUCCCUGUCACUGUCAGUACAAAUUCUUUAGGCCUUCCAGUCUAAAUAAGCUAUCUCCAGUAACCAGGGAAAGAUUAAAAACCUACUCUCAGGUUUCAGAUAGUUUGAUAUAAUUCUUUUGCUAACCCCAUUUUUUUUAAUAACAUGAUUACUCUAUAAUCUAGAUGAAAGGAUAAAUAUUGAAGAAGGCUCCUUUGUGAGCCAUAUUUUUUUUCCAGUGUACACCAACACAGCUUUGUCCUUUGAAUGAAAAGGCAGACAAAGUGUUUUCAAAAUAGAAACACCUAGGAUUAUUUUGAAAAACAUAAGCAGUUUUUUAAAAAUACUCUGGAGUUUUCUGAACAACCCUGAUGUACUCACAUUCUUAUCUCAACUUCUUUUUUUUUUUACAAUUGUAAGUGGAUAGUCAAGCUAAAUUGAUGCUUUAUGUAUAUCUUGUCUCAAUUUGUAAAACUAUUCUCUGGAAGGAGAUAAUUUGAAAAAAAAAAUACAAAAAAGAAGAAACGAUACCACUGACAACAAUUUACUUAAAUUCACAAACCUUGAAAUUGAUGCAUCUCCUAUCAAUCAUAGUCAGAAGAUUCAGUAAAACACAUCCAACAUUUGUAUAUCAAAAGUGGGACUAAAAAAACCUGUUUUGUUCAAUUUAAACAUCCUUCACCGUGUUGUAGUUUUAUAUGCCGAUAUUGAUGUAUGCACUUAUUACAAGUUAGAUUUCUCCUUUCAAACAUCCAUACGGUAUUAACCUCACAAAAUUAAAGUGCAUGCCAUUCUAUUGUACAGAUGUUUGUUCUCACUGGCUUACUGACAAUGAAAUAUUUAUUAAAUAGUAAUAAGGCGAUAUUGACUUCUCUAUUCUGUCAAUAUGAAGAUUUGUUGAUCUGUGAGGUUAAUAUUGAUGAGGCAGAGUGAGGUAAACAUUUGGUCAGGAGGGUAAAUAAAUUCUGAUAUUGACAUAAAUAAAACUUAGUACUAAUAUGAAAACUAACCUCUUUUGUUUUUAUUGGUUACACACACAUUAGUGCAACCUAUCAGCAUGUGAAUGCAUAGAGCCAUGUCGUAUGCUCACGCCAAUGUCAACACUUGACACUAGUUUUGCAGAACGUAGUCCAAAAAUGUCUGUCAAUGGUAUUUAAAAUUAAGCUCAAAUGAUGCCAAGCACUUGUGGUCUUUAGUCAUGCUCUGUGUUCAUUUCAAGCAGACAGUGUUAGUUUACAAAUGGAGUAGUUCCUUAAAAUACUACUGGAUGGGCUCUGUUUAUGUCCUCAAUAUUCUUCAUAUGAAGGAGACUUCUGUUCCUGCUUAAGAAUGGCUUUG
This is a long non-coding RNA of Chelonia mydas (Green sea turtle), 5333 nucleotides long. RefSeq lists it as uncharacterized. The transcript is spliced from 4 exons. Lineage: Eukaryota; Metazoa; Chordata; Testudines; Cheloniidae. The record is from RefSeq and is a predicted model, not a curated record.